RNAcentral lists this ribosomal RNA (194 nucleotides) under Escherichia coli. Its description in RNAcentral is "partial 16S ribosomal RNA". It matches the Rfam family "Bacterial small subunit ribosomal RNA", at positions 1 to 188 of the family's 1533-position model. Lineage: Bacteria; Pseudomonadati; Pseudomonadota; Gammaproteobacteria; Enterobacterales; Enterobacteriaceae. RNAcentral also lists the same sequence under 1 other name. The record is from RNAcentral.
AAAUUGAAGAGUUUGAUCAUGGCUCAGAUUGAACGCUGGCGGCAGGCCUAACACAUGCAAGUCGAACGGUAACAGGAAGCAGCUUGCUGCUUCGCUGACGAGUGGCGGACGGGUGAGUAAUGUCUGGGAAACUGCCUGAUGGAGGGGGAUAACUACUGGAAACGGUAGCUAAUACCGCAUAACGUCGCAAGACC